UGAGGAAUAUUGCGCAAUGGGCGAAAGCCUGACGCAGCCACGCCGCGUGGAGGAAGACACCCCUAUGGGGCGUAAACUCCUUUUGUGUGAGAAGAAGGCCCUGGUCUCCAGGGUUUGACGGUAUCGCACGAAUAAGCACCGGCUAACUCCGUGCCAGCAGCCGCGGUAAUACGGAGGGUGCAAGCGUUGUCCGGAUUCGCUGGGUGUAAAGGGUGUGUAGGCGGGCCUGUAAGUCAGGGGUGAAAUCCCACGGCUCAACCGUGGAACCGCCUUUGAUACUGCAGGUCUUGAGUCUCGGAGGGGUUGCUGGAAUUCGUGGUGUAGCGGUGAAAUGCGUAGAUAUCACGAGGAACACCAGAGGCGUAGGCGGGCAACUGGACGAGUACUGACGCUGAGGCACGAAAGCGUGGGGAGCAAACAGGAUUAGAUACCCUGGUAGUCCACGCUGUAAACGAUGGAUGCUCGAUGUUGCCCCGUUACUGGGGCAGUG
RNAcentral lists this ribosomal RNA (490 nucleotides) under uncultured Bacteroidota bacterium. Its description in RNAcentral is "bacterial SSU rRNA". It matches the Rfam family "Bacterial small subunit ribosomal RNA", at positions 355 to 845 of the family's 1533-position model. Lineage: Bacteria; Pseudomonadati; Bacteroidota. The record is from RNAcentral.